ACAGAGGGUGCAAGCGUUAAUCGGAAUUACUGGGCGUAAAGCGUGCGUAGUCGGUUAUCUAAGUCGGGUGUGAAAUCCCCGGGCUCAACCUGGGAAUUGCAUUCGAUACUGGAUAGCUAGAGUUCGGCAGAGGGAAGCGGAAUUUCGGGUGUAGCGGUGAAAUGCGUAGAUAUCCGAAGGAACAUCAGUGGCGAAAGCGGCUUCCUGGACCAGAACUGACGAUCAGGCACGAAAGCGUGGGGAGCAAACAGGA
RNAcentral lists this ribosomal RNA (253 nucleotides) under uncultured prokaryote. Its description in RNAcentral is "partial 16S ribosomal RNA". It matches the Rfam family "Bacterial small subunit ribosomal RNA", at positions 525 to 777 of the family's 1533-position model. The record is from RNAcentral.